RNAcentral lists this long non-coding RNA (3285 nucleotides) under Sus scrofa (pig). RNAcentral describes it as "lncRNA (ENSSSCG00065014642.1)". Lineage: Eukaryota; Metazoa; Chordata; Mammalia; Artiodactyla; Suidae. The record is from RNAcentral.
GCCCUACAGCAUAUGGGAAUUCCCAGGCUAAGGAUCAGAUCUGAGCUGCAGUUGCAACCUACACCACAAUUUUGGCAACACCAGAUCCGUUAACCCACUGUGUACUCUGGGGAUCGAACCCACAUCCUGGCACUGCAGAGAUGCCACCAAUCCUGAUGCACCACAGCAGCAACUCCUCCAACUAGACUUUAAAGAAAAUCCAUUAAGACGUCAAGCCGUUUUGCAGAGCUAUCUUGAUAAAGUCCACACUUCUCAAAAAACAGAAUAAUCAUGUCAUGGCCACUGCCACCAUCCCUGGGGAAUACAGAGUGGUAUAACAAGUAGAAGACACAAAAUUUAAAAAACAGAUAAGCUUGGGGCAUGAAUUUCCUUUUUUUUUUUUUUUUUUUUUUUUUUUUGUGCAGGCGUGCAUGCGUGAGUACGUUGUUUGGGGGCAUGAACUUUCUUGGUGGAAAAUAACUGCAAACAUUACUUCUAUGUUAAAACAUGUAGUUAUAUUCAUGAUAGGUAUGUAGAUUAUACCAGUAUAUGCUUGUGUCAAUACCAAACUUAAGAUCUAUACAUUUCACUGUAUGUCAUUUUUAACUCAUUUUUUUCAAAAAAGAUAUAUAUGGAAUAGAAUGUAUAUUCAAAUAGAUUUUUAAGAAAGCAUUCUGGAAAUUUCAACAAAUCUGAGCUUUCUGGAAGCACAAUUUGGCCUAUGACCUGUGACUACACAAGAACAUGAGUUUACUUUCUCCUGCUAUUCAGGUACUUUAGGAGGAAAUUUAAGAAACAGAACACUAAGAAAACCCAGUAUUGGUUUUUCAUUGGUUGUUUUAUAUAAAUUGAGCCUUUUCUGGAAAUUUAAAUGGGUGACCUGGUAGGAUUACCAUGUAAGAUUGGUCUAUGCCUUAAAGUACAUUUCCUAAAGCAAACUCUUUAAAAAUACCAGAAAAAUCACCACAACCACAGUAGCCCCAGUACAGCAGCCCCACUGGUUCUGUUCAUUAAAGGAAUAACUGCAGAAAUUUACCAGAUACCUGUAAAGCUUUUCAGUUCCCAGAACUAGAUGUAAUACUCCCCUACAGGGAGAAGGCGGUUAACGAAUCCGACUAGGAACCAUGAGGUUGCAGGUUCGAUCUCUGGACUUGCUCAGUGGGUUAAGGAUCUGGCGUUGCCGUGAGCUACGGUGUAGGUCACAGACGCAACUCAGAUCCCGCAGUGUUGUGGCUCUGGCAUAGGCCAGCGGCUAUAGCUCUGACUAGACCCCUAGCCUGGGAACCUCCAUAUGCCACAGGUAUGGCCCUAGAAAAGACACAAAAAACCCAAAAACAUAUAAACCUGUUCAAUAAAUGUCUGCUGAAUGACAGAGUUCAAUAGGUAGUGGAUUUUAUUAACUGACAAUUUUCUAAAAGGGAAAGCAAAAUCUUCGGUCUUGGAGGAACUUGGCAGGACAGCAAAAAAGAGUGCUGUAAUAUCGGAACACUGAAAAACAGAGCUGAGUAGGCCCUGAGUCACCUGGGCCCUACUCGAUGUGACACAAAUGCAAGGGUUUGUUGUGGAAGGAUAUGGCUUUCUCCCCUGACAUCAACCUCACAAGAUUAUGGGUAAACUCCAAAACCUCCUACUUGCCAUAAUGCCCCAUUACUUUUGCAUCACAAAUUUAUUUAAACUAUAUUUUUGCAGAAAUGUGUAGUUUCUAUUUUUAUCUCUGCUGAGGACAACAGUGUAUAUAACAUUUCUGCCCUAAUGUUUAAGACAGCAAUGUAUUAAGGGGCAUGGGGUGGGGGUCCAGAAAUAGGACUAUAAGGCAUUACCAUUCAUUCACAUUCACAAGAAUGUGAAUGAAUGAUCCUUUGCUGACUUCAUCCAUGACCCCUCAGGUUUAAAUUAAAGAUCCUUCAGCAUUCAAAAAAGAGAGCCUCCUUCAGUGCAGUGCUCCAUCCUGGCAGUGUUUCAAAUUGGGGCUUCUUGAACUCACAUUUUUCUAACCUAGACAUGCAUGUUGCACUCGGGGAAGAUGAGCAUCACGUUCUUAAACAUGAGUAAGGAACUAUUUUUAGUUCUGUUUCUUCUUGUGGACAAAUAACUUUUUCUUGUUGGACUUCCUUCGUCACAGUGGUGAUGUGAUAAUCGUCAACCUCUUCUUGGAAAAGUUCAGAAGCACUCAAGUUUUUUCCAGGGUCUUUAAUGAAGAACCCAACUUGUGUGAAUUAUUUUGACCUUUGAAUAUCACUUUCCUUUCUGAAGCACCCACUACAAAUUCCUUUGUAAACUGGGUAUUUCUAAAACCUGAAACCAAGAGGCAAGCACAAGAAAAGUAUCCCAACUGUGCUCUUUUGUUUGGUCAAAUCAUCCUGUCCUCACCCCCUCCUACUCAAAAUGGUUAGACUACAUGCAAAUAGAGCAAGCAAGAUAGGGUGGGAAGAAAUUGAGCAACUAUUAAAUAGAAGACUCUGGCAAAGCAGAAACAAAUACUCUGGGAAAAAAGCAGAAAUAAAGAUUAAAAAAAAAAGAUGGACUGCCAUGUUAAGAUAAAGCCAUUCUCAGUCAUUUGCAUGGAUUUAUUUCCUGCCAAAAAUAUUUUUAUAUUUAGAGAGAUUAGGCAAUACGGAAAAUGUAGAAAAUGAUAUUAUAGGAAGUUCCCAUUAUGGCUCAGCAGUAACAAACCCAACUGGUAUUCAUGAGGACUUAGGUUCAAUCCCUGGCCUCGUUCAGUGGGUUAAGGCUCUGGCAUGGCCGUGAGCUGUGGUGUAGGUCACACAUGCAGCUCGGAUACCAUGUUGCUGUGGCUGUGGCAUAAGCCGGCAGCUGUGGCUCCGAUUCGACUCCUAACCUUCCAUAUGCCGUUUUUGCAGCCCUAAAAAGACCAAAAAAAAAAAGAUAUUAUAAUAAUUGUUAUAGAUAAAAAGACCUCAGGAGAGCCCCAUCACCAGACUCAGUAUUACUUCUAGAUUGUCUUCCCACAGAUUCACUUCCAUAUUAUACUCUUUUCAUAUUACUCAAGGUUUAGGGAGAAAAAAAUUACUAUUAGCAAGUUUAAAGCAUUUACAAACCAUGAGCUAUAACCAUACCUCCAGAGUCACUCAUGGUAACUGCGUAUCUAGAGCAUUAAAAAAAUGUAUAUCACAAAGCAAACCUAAAAUACUACCAUCUUCCUGAAAUAACAUAUUUCACCAUUGUUAAAAAUCUAGAAAAUAAGUGUUGUGGAAUUAAAGAUUUAAUGAAACUAGACAGAAUAAAUAAUUAAAAGAAUGAGUAAGAUAUAUAAAAGUUAGGCUGAGAAACCAUGUCCUUGGCUUG